Molecule: ribosomal RNA, 647 nt
Filed under: Volvariella lepiotospora
Lineage: Eukaryota; Fungi; Basidiomycota; Agaricomycetes; Agaricales; Pluteaceae
Description: eukaryotic LSU rRNA
Rfam family: 5.8S ribosomal RNA (bases 258-412)
Source: RNAcentral
GUAGGUGAACCUGCGGAAGGAUCAUUAACGAAUCUGAAACAAAGCGCCCCCGCUGGGCUGAUGCUGGCUCCUCGGAGCAUGUGCACGCCCCUCGGGCGCGACUUCAAUUCGCUUACCCUCCCCUUGUGCACUCCAUGUAGGUUCGUCGAUGGUGGUCGGAACACGAGUCUGGGUGCCCGCUUUGACGCCUACAACUUUUUUGUAUGCACCCCGAUCGCAUGUAUAUUGUGCAAGCCUUGAUAAAUAAAUUAAAAUACAACUUUCAACAACGGAUCUCUUGGGUCUCGCAUCGAUGAAGAACGCACCGAAAUGCGAUAAGUAAUGUGAAUUGCAGAAUUCAGUGAAUCAUCNAAUCUUUGAACGCACCUUGCGCUCUUUGGCCAUUCCAAAGAGCAUGCCUGUUUGAGUGUGAUUGAAUCCUCAAGGCCCCCCCAAUCUUUUGCCAUUGGCGGGGAGCCUUGGACUUUGGGAGUGCUGCGGGGCCCAAGCAACGGGCACGGGCCCCGCUCUCCUCAAAUGCAUCAGUAGGGCCUCACACGAACACCCCGUGGCGUUGAUAGUCGUCUACGCCUCGUCCGUUCGGGUUUUGGACCUUGCUCCUCAACGAACCCCAGGGAUUCUUCCUGGACGCUUUUGACCUCAAAUCA